RNAcentral lists this long non-coding RNA (1542 nucleotides) under Marmota monax (woodchuck). Lineage: Eukaryota; Metazoa; Chordata; Mammalia; Rodentia; Sciuridae. The record is from RNAcentral.
GCUACGUCAACUCCAACCUGCAGCUGCUGAAGGAGGAGCUGGAGGGGCUCAGCAGUGGCCCAGACACGCACCAGCCUGAGGGGUAGGGCCUGCAGCCUGGCCACUCAGCACGCACAUGUAGGCGGGGCUGCUGUGGGCAGCAGGUCCCAGCCAGUGCUUCUGGUUCUAGCGAAGGUGUCACUGUCCCCAUGAUACCCCUGGGCCUAAAGGAGACCACGGAAUUGGACUGGGCCACCCCGCUGAAGGUAAGCGCUGGCGACAACUUCUGAGUGACAGCCUUGUCCUGGUCCAGGUGUCUCUGAACAGAUGUGGAGACAGGGCCACAGGGAGGUGGGGCUGACUCGGGGCCACCAGGGACCCAGCAUCCCACCCUGGGCAGGCCUGCUGAGCUGGGACUCUGCCCUAGGAUAAUGUAAUGGGAGCCCCAGGACACCUGCAGGGACCCGGGGCUCUCCUGCAUAGGGUUCCCUGGCUCAGGCCGCCUCCCACCCGUGGAGCUGUGCUGUGGGGCCAUAGCUACCCAGUGUUUGGGAGGGCUCAGACCCAAGAACAGAGCCGUGUCCCAUCCGCCACUGCCUGGCAGGGCCCCGAGGGAAAAUGAAUUGACUUUGUGCCUCAGAGUCUGAGUCUCCAAGUGACACAUGGCACCUGCCUCUUGGGAUUGCCAUGGGAUUGAUAAGGGAAUUGUGUAAAAUUAGCACCAACAAGAAUCCACGACUUCCCACCGCAUGCCAGGCCCUCAGCCUCACAAGCCUUCUGCUGAGGGCUUCGAGGGCCCUGGACCCAUGUGGGCAGCUGGCCUGCUCAGUGCUGGGACCUUCCCCUCCCUGGGGCAGGCUGCCAAACACAGGGUGCCCGGAGGCCAACACCUGUCCUUCUGUCAGGAGCUGAUUUCAGGGCACUUUGGAGAGGACGGUGCCUCCUAUGAGGCGGAGAUCAGGGAGCUGGAGGGCCUGCGGCAGGUGGGUGGCUAUGCCCCUCCCACCUCUCCUCCUGCAGCGCUGGCACUGAAGCCUGGAAUUGGAGCCAGUGUAGCCUCGCGCAGCAGGAGGCCCUCCUCUUGGGAGGACAUCAGGGAGACAGGCACCCCAGUGUGUAGGGAAGGGCCCAGGAGCCACAGAUGGCCACGGGGUACUCUGUUCCUGUUCCCUCCUCAGAGCCCUACCUGCUCUCUGGACUCAGGCUGCCUGGCCUGGUGCCCACGGUCCCCUGGGGCAGCAUGUGCUUCCACAGGCUGAUGCCCAGGGGAUUUUUAGGGCAGUGGGGUGGGGUGGGGACUGGGCAGGGGCCCAGCCAGCUCCUGCCCUGCAGGCCAUGCGGACCCCCAGCCGAGAUGAUGCGGGCCUGAAGCUGCUCGCAGCCUACUACAGCCAGCUCUGCUUCCUGGAGGGACGCUUUUUCAGCCCUGCCCGGAGCCUCGGGCUGAUCUUCCACUGGUAGGGGCCUGGGAUGGUGGGAUACCCUGGGGAGGAGGGCCUGGUGCCAUGGGAACCACACCCAGCCUGACCCUCUACAGGUACGACUCUCUCACGGGGGUCCCUG